GCAUUUUUGGUGUAACGGUAGCACACUCGCCGCAUAAUCCAGAGGUCCUGGUUCGAGUCUUGGAGAGGGCA
Molecule: transfer RNA, 71 nt
Filed under: Stegodyphus mimosarum
Lineage: Eukaryota; Metazoa; Arthropoda; Arachnida; Araneae; Eresidae
Rfam family: tRNA
About the family: Transfer RNA (tRNA) molecules are approximately 80 nucleotides in length. Their secondary structure includes four short double-helical elements and three loops (D, anti-codon, and T loops).
Source: Rfam by way of RNAcentral